RNAcentral lists this transfer RNA (72 nucleotides) under Thraustochytrium aureum. RNAcentral describes it as "tRNA-Pro". It matches the Rfam family "tRNA". From Rfam's summary of the family: Transfer RNA (tRNA) molecules are approximately 80 nucleotides in length. Their secondary structure includes four short double-helical elements and three loops (D, anti-codon, and T loops). Lineage: Eukaryota; Bigyra; Thraustochytrida; Thraustochytriidae. The record is from RNAcentral.
CGGGGUAUAACGCAGUGGUAGCGUGUUUGUUUUGGGAACAAAAAGUCGUAUGUUCAAAUCAUACUAUCCCGA